AGCAAAUCAGAUCCGAUAAGAGGUCUGUUCUUCCUGUAUCGCUUAAAAAUGGCAGAAACAGCUAAACAGGACAGAAAUGGAUCACAGAAGCAGACGUCUGGGAAGAUCAGAAGAAACAGAAUGGUCCUCCACAGCUGCUUUGGUUAUGUGAGGAGACACUAAGCCAGAGAUGAAUCAUUGAGGAACGUAAGACAAACAAGUGGGUGAGAUAACAUUUCACCUCACCUGUCUAAUCCUAAUGAAACCCGACGCGUGUUCUGAUGAGAGCAUCACCGUCAGGAGGCUCGGCGGUGCUGGAGGAGUGGAUACAGGUGGAGCAGGGCAUCACGCUGAAGGUGUGGUCAUAUGGCUCCAGCCCCAGUGAUGUGCCUGGAUCAGCAGCCUACAGCGCGCCUGAGGGCACUGAAUGCCUGGAGGAGGUAUGAGCUGAACAACAAGUAAAUUAAAGAUAGGAUGAAUGCCACUCUACAAAGGCCGUAGUGUGUGAGUGUGUGUGUUGGGGGGGAGGGGUCCUUAUGUGAGCAUCUGCAUCACCAAACAAAAGCACCUUGACUUCUGAUGUACCUGUUCUCCUCCCUUAAACUGUCCUGCGUAUCGUCCUGGUGUAUCAAAGCUCCACGUUUGAUACCCCAUCAAAAACCCUUACAAAACACAACCUGUCUUCUUUUCCUCUUCUCUUCUUCACAGGAACACCACCUUCAAACACAUGCAGAGCAUCGAGUGCCACCUAAAGAACAAUUAUUCCUGUAAUCUCCAGCGGCGAGAUGGCAAAAAGGACAUAUUCUUCUCUGCUACAGGAAAAGAAGCUGUUAUUAUUAUGAAACACAAAGGUUGAGUUACAGAUGUAAUAGAUGCUCA
This 858-nucleotide long non-coding RNA is filed under the name Astyanax mexicanus (Mexican tetra). RNAcentral's name for it is "lncRNA (ENSAMXG00005014260.1)". Lineage: Eukaryota; Metazoa; Chordata; Actinopteri; Characiformes; Acestrorhamphidae. The record is from RNAcentral.